RNAcentral lists this ribosomal RNA (219 nucleotides) under Cyphomyrmex costatus. RNAcentral's name for it is "partial large subunit ribosomal RNA". Lineage: Eukaryota; Metazoa; Arthropoda; Insecta; Hymenoptera; Formicidae. The record is from RNAcentral.
GAAUUUUAUAUAAAUUUAUUUAAAAUAUAAUUGGUAAAUAAAAAUAAAUUUAUGUUUAGUUGGGAGGAUAAUUAAAUUAAUAAAACUUUAAUUUGAUAAAGAUAAUAAUUAUUAAGAAAGAGUAAUAAAAAGUGUAUUUAAUAAAUUAAAAAAGAAAUAAUUACCUUAGGGAUAACAGCGUAAUAUUUUUAGAUAGAUCAUAUAUAUAAAAAUGAUUGC